AACCCUACGGGACGCAGCAGUGGGGAAUAUUGCACAAUGGGGGAAACCCUGAUGCAGCAACGCCGCGUGGGUGAAGGAGCGUUUCGGCGCGUAAAGCCCUGUCAGCGGGGAAGAAGAAAGACGGUACCCGACCAAGAAGCCCCGGCUAACUACGUGCCAGCAGCCGCGGUAAUACGUAGGGGGCGAGCGUUAUCCGGAAUUACUGGGUGUAAAGGGAGCGUAGGCGGGACGGCAAGUCAGAUGUGAAAACUGAGGGCUCAACUUUCAGACUGCAUUUGAAACUGCUGUUCUUGAGUGAAGUAGAG
This 305-nucleotide ribosomal RNA is filed under the name uncultured bacterium. RNAcentral describes it as "bacterial SSU rRNA". It matches the Rfam family "Bacterial small subunit ribosomal RNA", at positions 335 to 656 of the family's 1533-position model. The record is from RNAcentral.